UGGGGAAUUUUGGACAAUGGGGGCAACCCUGAUCCAGCAAUGCCGCGUGUGUGAAGAAGGCCUUCGGGUUGUAAAGCACUUUUGUCCGGGAAGAAAUCGCACCUGAUAAUACCGGGUGUGGAUGACGGUACCGGAAGAAUAAGGACCGGCUAACUACGUGCCAGCAGCCGCGGUAAUACGUAGGGUCCAAGCGUUAAUCGGAAUUACUGGGCGUAAAGCGUGCGCAGGCGGUUGUGCAAGACCGAUGUGAAAUCCCCGGGCUUAACCUGGGAAGUGCAUUGGUGACUGCACGGCUAGAGUGUGUCAGAGGGGAGUAGAAUUCCACGUGUAGCAGUGAAAUGCGUAGAGAUGUGGAGGAAUACCGAUGGCGAAGGCAGCCCCCUGGGAUAACACUGACGCUCAUGCACGAAAGCGUGGGGAGCAAACAGG
Molecule: ribosomal RNA, 429 nt
Filed under: Bacillota bacterium
Lineage: Bacteria; Bacillati; Bacillota
Description: Firmicutes bacterium partial 16S ribosomal RNA
Rfam family: Bacterial small subunit ribosomal RNA
Source: RNAcentral